Molecule: ribosomal RNA, 433 nt
Filed under: uncultured bacterium
Lineage: Bacteria
Description: partial 16S ribosomal RNA
Rfam family: Bacterial small subunit ribosomal RNA
Source: RNAcentral
GAUGAACGCUGGCGGCGUGCUUAACACAUGCAAGUCGAGCGAGGACUUCGGUUCUAGCGGCGGACGGGUGAGUAACGCGUGGGAAUGUGCCCUUCUCUACGGAAUAGCCCUGGGAAACUGGGAGUAAUACCGUAUACGCCCUAUUGGGGAAAGAUUUAUCGGAGAAGGAUCAGCCCGCGUUGGAUUAGGUAGUUGGUGGGGUAAUGGCCUACCAAGCCGACGAUCCAUAGCUGGUUUGAGAGGAUGAUCAGCCACACUGGGACUGAGACACGGCCCAGACUCCUCCGGGAGGCGCCAGGGGGGAUUGUUAAACAAGGGGGGAACCCCUAAUCGACCCUUCCGGGGUGAGUAAUGAAGCCCUAGGGGUUGAAAACCUCUUUCAGCGGGGAAGAUAAUGACGGUACCAGAAAAAAAACCCCCGGCUAACCCGGUG